RNAcentral lists this ribosomal RNA (415 nucleotides) under uncultured Pseudochrobactrum sp. RNAcentral's name for it is "bacterial SSU rRNA". It matches the Rfam family "Bacterial small subunit ribosomal RNA", at positions 358 to 790 of the family's 1533-position model. Lineage: Bacteria; Pseudomonadati; Pseudomonadota; Alphaproteobacteria; Hyphomicrobiales; Brucellaceae. The record is from RNAcentral.
GGAAUAUUGGACAAUGGGCGCAAGCCUGAUCCAGCCAUGCCGCGUGAGUGAUGAAGGCCCUAGGGUUGUAAAGCUCUUUCACCGGUGAAGAUAAUGACGGUAACCGGAGAAGAAGCCCCGGCUAACUUCGUGCCAGCAGCCGCGGUAAUACGAAGGGGGCUAGCGUUGUUCGGAUUUACUGGGCGUAAAGCGCACGUAGGCGGGCUUUUAAGUCAGAGGUGAAAUCCCAGGGCUCAACCCUGGAACUGCCUUUGAUACUGGAAGUCUUGAGUAUGGUAGAGGUGAGUGGAAUUGCGAGUGUAGAGGUGAAAUUCGUAGAUAUUCGCAGGAACACCAGUGGCGAAGGCGGCUCACUGGACCAUUACUGACGCUGAGGUGCGAAAGCGUGGGGAGCAAACAGGAUUAGAUACCCUUG